This 23-nucleotide small RNA is filed under the name Sinorhizobium meliloti 2011. RNAcentral's name for it is "putative ncRNA". The record is from RNAcentral. Lineage: Bacteria; Pseudomonadati; Pseudomonadota; Alphaproteobacteria; Hyphomicrobiales; Rhizobiaceae.
AGCGGGAACAAUAUUCUGUAGCA